Molecule: long non-coding RNA, 508 nt
Organism: Esox lucius (northern pike)
Lineage: Eukaryota; Metazoa; Chordata; Actinopteri; Esociformes; Esocidae
Source: Ensembl
GUUGGGGAGAGAAUAUCCCAGUGGAGAGAGGGAAGCCCGCUAGGCCCGCUAGACAGUAAGGACGGUUUGUGACGUAGUAUGACAACAUGAAAGCUAUUUGAGUCGGGGUAUAGCGCUGCACGUUAGGCAUGUUCGAAUAACCAGGAUGUGAUUGCGGGAAACACUGGUACUUCAAUUACCGAAAUAACAAUGCCGAAAACAGGGGGCUGAAUCUUUACGAGUGACUGGAAACCAAACCUCUGCCUUCGAUCUGCUUUGGCGUAACGACGGGCGACCAGCAAGCAGUGGAACACUGGAAGGCAUCAUGAUCUAUAUGGUACAAGGUAAUGACCUCUACCCUGUCUUUUCCCAGCGUGGCUUUUUCCAAUCUCUCCAAUUCCGUCUAGACAUUCAUCUCUUCCUCAGGAUCCUAACUCAGGGUUCACAUAGAGCUUUUGUUGUGUCUUAUUGACACUAGGGAGCUGGGUCUGGGCCUCUGUCCUGCCCGGGGCAGCUGUGCCUACACAUG